ACUCAAAGGAAUAGACGGGGACCCGCACAAGCGGUGGAUGAUGUGGUUUAAUUCGAUGCAACGCGAAAAACCUUACCCACCUUUGACAUGUCUGGAAUCCCGCAGAGAUGCAGGAGUGCUCGAAAGAGAACCAGAACACAGGUGCUGCAUGGCUGUCGUCAGCUCGUGUCGUGAGAUGUUGGGUUAAGUCCCGCAACGAGCGCAACCCUUGCCAUUAGUUGCUACGAAAGGGCACUCUAAUGGGACUGCCGGUGACAAACCGGAGGAAGGUGGGGAUGACGUCAAGUCCUCAUGGCCCUUAUAGGUGGGGCUACACACGUCAUACAAUGGCUGGUACAGAGGGUUGCCAACCCGCGAGGGGGAGCUAAUCCCAUAAAACCAGUCGUAGUCCGGAUCGCAGUCUGCAACUCGACUGCGUGAAGUCGGAAUCGCUAGUAAUCGCGGAUCAGAAUGUCGCGGUGAAUACGUUCCCGGGUCUUGUACACACCGCCCGU
Molecule: ribosomal RNA, 494 nt
Filed under: uncultured bacterium
Lineage: Bacteria
Description: partial 16S ribosomal RNA
Rfam family: Bacterial small subunit ribosomal RNA
Source: RNAcentral